This 73-nucleotide transfer RNA is filed under the name Candidatus Methanophagales archaeon ANME-1-THS. Its description in RNAcentral is "Methanophagales archaeon ANME-1-THS tRNA-Ala". It matches the Rfam family "tRNA". Rfam says of the family: Transfer RNA (tRNA) molecules are approximately 80 nucleotides in length. Their secondary structure includes four short double-helical elements and three loops (D, anti-codon, and T loops). Further hydrogen bonds mediate the characteristic L-shaped molecular structure. tRNAs have two regions of fundamental functional importance: the anti-codon, which is responsible for specific mRNA codon recognition, and the 3' end, to which the tRNAs corresponding amino acid is attached (by aminoacyl-tRNA synthetases). tRNAs cope with the degeneracy of the genetic code in two manners: having more than one tRNA (with a specific anti-codon) for a particular amino acid; and 'wobble' base-pairing, i.e. permitting non-standard base-pairing at the 3rd anti-codon position. The record is from RNAcentral. Lineage: Archaea; Methanobacteriati; Methanobacteriota; Methanomicrobia; Candidatus Methanophagales.
GGGCCGGUAGAUCAGGUGGAAGAUCGCUCGCUUGGCGUGUGAGAGGCCUCGGGUUCAAAUCCCGACCGGUCCA